Molecule: long non-coding RNA, 5358 nt
Filed under: Podarcis lilfordi (Lilford's wall lizard)
Lineage: Eukaryota; Metazoa; Chordata; Lepidosauria; Squamata; Lacertidae
Source: RNAcentral
ACAAUUAUGAACUAUUUUAAUAAAAUAAACAAGGUUGAGCCAUGUAACUAGAUAUCUAUACAUACACAAAUACUCUCUGUAUUUAUAUGUAAUCUUAACCAUCUUUUGAAUGUUUGUAAAUACCUGUUUUUUUAAUCGAGAAUUUCUAAGUUUUACGGUAAUUUAUCUUGUUGGAAAAUGCUUAGAGGCUUUCUUAAAAUUAAACAGCAUAUACAUUAUGUUAAAAUAAAACAAACAAAAGUGGUGGCAGUGCUGCUGCUGUGGCCCACUUUAGGUCAUGCCAGGAAUCGCCAGCAUGAAUCAGAGGCCCUCCAGAUGUUGGGCUCCAACUCCCAUCAGCACCAGCAUUUUUCAGGCUUGAUGGGAGUUGCAGCCCAGCCCUGCAACAUCUGGAGGGCCACAGGCUCCCAGCCACUGUGGCAGCGAGUGACCCUCCCAUCCUUCCUGCGUAAAGUUAUAUUUCGGGGAAAGAAUGUUACCGCCAUGGUGAGAGUGCCCCUGAGAGAGAAUAAAUCUCCUUUCUCACUCUGUAAAGAGAACAAACAGUACAUCUGUUCCUGACCAGUGAUCCCUGUUUCCCCUCGUGCAUACACACACACACACACACACACACACACACACACAGAGUCCUGUGAGGAAAAGCAGUGGUUCUGUAUGUCUGAACUGGCACAUCAUGAGCUACACCGGAAGAGAGGAAGAGAGAGAUGGUCCUAGCCAGCUCUUGUUUAAAGCCUUUUAAUGAUGUGGGUCUGACUCUGCUGGGUUUUCUCACAGAAGCGUACAAAAGAGAUGCUUGUUUUCCAGCGCUCGGUGGUGCUUGCCUUGCAAAAUGCAGCUCGAGGCAAUACUACUGUAUUCCCACUUCCCUCACACCCCACACCCCACACCCCUCCUCCUUCUCCUCCAUGCAUUUCCAUUUCCAGAACUGUGAUUCUUCAGGGAGCCAAUUUUCAUACUGCUAACUGAUGGAUGGUUUACAUGAACUGUUGAGAAUACACACAGCUUGACUAAGCACAUCUCUUGAUUUCAGGACAUCUUUUAGGUUAAAAAAACAACAACCCACACCCUCUGUUUUUCAUGUGCAAGGUUUUCUAGCAAGGUUACUUGUCACCACAAGGGCAGUGGGAAGAUGAUGCCUCUGGGCUAUUUGUUAAGCAAAAUCAGCUCUCCAAACCCUCUUCUGUGCGAAGGAGGAAGGCCUGGAAACCAGCUGAAACCAUUGGGGAGAGGGGGAGUCACAACAUUCCCCUCCAAGAACAAGAAGGAUUCCUGAGGGUGAAGAUGCUUGUUUGUUGAGCAAAUGUUUAGCUUCGAGUUAGAAACAUUCGUGUCAAAACAACAAUCGUGUGGCAUCAGCAACAAAUUUAUUAUAGUAUAAGCUUUUAAGGACUAGGGUCUGUUUCAUCAGAUGCUUGAUAAAUGUUGAAUAUGGCCAUGAGCUUUAAUCUAGGGUUCACCUUAUCACUGAUUUUGAUUACUUUUUGAAUAUCUUAAAUGGUUUUUUUCUGUUUCAUUUUUACUGAUAAUUUUAUUGUUUUAUUCUUUUUGUAAACCGCUUUGAUCUAGCCUGGUUUUAUUACAACCAAUUGGGAAAUAAAUAUUUUUUGGGAAAUAAAUGUUAUCUGCCUAAGUUGGCAGGUAUAUAUACAUAUAUCCACAGGAGGGGGGGAGAGUGGAAUAAACUGCAAAAAUUGCAGACUGUAACAACCGUAUUAGAGCAUAAAUGUAUGUAAAACAAUUACAGCGACCAAUCCCAUAUCAGUGACUGUGAUAGCACAUACAUUCUAGUGUUGGUAAGCUAUUUAACAACAGUAGUGGGUUAAAAACCCAUUAUCUCAAUUCAGGCUGCAAGUAAUAGAUUUGAACUUGCUGUUCCCAGAGGGGCAGCUAUCUUAGGGUGCAAGCUCAUUGAUAUCUCAGUUUAUUGCACCAAGCUUUAGGGUUGGGGGAGUUUGGAUAUGGUGGUCUCCUUUCACCCCACCUAGAACAGCUCUGCCAGGCUAAAGUCACUCCACUGGCACUGAGUUCCCCAUUCCGCCUGCUGGUAGUAAAAGUGGUAGCAGCCUGCAGAAAACCCAGAAAUGGAACAUUCUGAGCAGUGUUCGAAAUUCCCCAGCUGCCAGGCGCGUUUUGCGUGGGUCCAGUUGCGCUCAUGUGGAGAUCUCUGGAUGCCAGGUUGGCAACUGACAUCUCCAUCUGUCUGGCCCCUCCAGCUUUCUUAAGUUGGUAAGAAGAAGAACUUAUUUCCUGCAUUUAUAUCCCACCUUUCCUCCAAGUAAUACAUGGUUCACACACACCCCUCAGUUAAUCCCUAUGAUGACCCUGUGAGGUUGGUUAAGAGGUUGUGACUGGCCCAAGGUCACCCAGUGAGCUUCAUGACUGAGUGGGGAUUUGAACCCUGAUCUCCCAGGUCCUAGUCCUGUUACUCUGCAAAAGGGAUUUUAGUUCACCCCAGGUCUCCAGGCCAAAUGAAGACAUACAGCACAUGGAAGGAACUAAUUUUUAUUCAUGAAUCUGCAUGAGCGGCCCAGAGGAUCGCUCCAAAAAGCUGGGCUGAGAAUACAAAAUUCAAGACGCUUUUAUAACUUCUGACUAACUCGUGAACGAUCUCUUUCAAAGCAAUAUAACUGGGUAACAAAACGUGUGGACAGCUCAUGCAUACGUUUUCAUUGGUUUGCAGAAACAUGUUCUUAUCUGCAUGUGCAACACCAUGGCAACAGGCAGUUUUAAGCAAAGUUUCAUUUUCUACUGCCAGUCUUUGAGUCACUCUUUCUCUUCCUUUGAAGUUCUCCUGGUCUUCUUCUGAAGGCACUGCUGUUCUGUGCCAACAGAUAAGGAAAGUGAGGAGGACCCUAGACGGCUUCUUUGCUAGCAAAACAUUGAAUUGCAGCUUCUAUUCACAGAUGGGGGUGCAGAGAGAAGAAAGCUUAAACUUUCAGGUUUAAAAGGACGAAAUGUUCUCAAUCCUUGUUUUACUUAAAUGACAGAAAUAAUCUGAUUGACACUGAGCAUCUCUGGCUUUGGAAUUUAACGGACAUAGCAUUAAUUCUAGAAAACAAGUGCAUUACAUUACCUUAGCUAGCCAACAUCAGAAUUUAGACACUUCAAGGCUAUUUGACCACUGCUUGCAGCUCACAGGUCACAUGACACUCACAGCCACACGUCUGCCCGCAGAUUUCUUACCUGGCAACCACAGUGCCUCACCCCUGCUUAAAUUGGACAUGGAAUAAGCCUUUUGUAGCCCAUAGAAAGCUUUUCUAAAACUUAAUUGCAGUGCAGGUGCAAUUUCAGGGGGGUUAUAAUGGAGGGAAGGUAAUUGUGGCACUCAUGUGGUGCCCAUAACCAUUCAUCUGCUUUGCGCAUGUGUCCACAGUCUCCCAAAGGUUGGCAACCCCUGGCUCUAGUUGCUCUCCCAGUGCUUAAAAGGCUGGAAGCAAAGUUUGGUGCCAUCUGGGGUGGAAAUAAAUCAGGCUCUAGGUGUUUAGAGUAAGAAACAAAAGGGAAAUCUGUGUUAAGAUCGCUAGACUACAGUUUACCUACUCAUGUCUGUGGCCUUUCAAGUCAGCAAGACAGAAGGUUAAUUAAUGCAGACACCGUGUUAAUUAGAUUACACAUAGGCCUUGCUGGUGCGGGUUCCAGUUACAAAAUGUUCCUCAAGGGACAAAGCAAUAAAUUAAAUCGGUUAUCUUUGGAAGUAUAAACACUAGGAGUGAAGACAUGCCCAUAUCCCCAGUGCCUUCUGGAUAACAGGCAUCGUUCUUUUUCACUAUAGUUUUUAAAGGGCAUAGCAGGGUUUUUAAAAAGAACUUCAAAAUGCUGAAGGUGAAGUUUGACCCAGCAAACAAGUCACAAUAAAACACUGGUUUGUGUAACAUUGCCAGUCACCUUGAGCUUAAAAGCGUAAGAAUCAGAAGACUCUGAUGUCCUACAAAGGUAAAGAACUAUAUCUAUAUUGCAAUAAUUAUUUCUAAUUGUUGGGAUAUUUUGCCCGUGUGCAACUUCCUUUGCAAAAUGACAACCCCCGCCCCCCAAAGAAUAGAAUUAAGUUUUUACUCAUUUAUAUGUGUGGAGUAUUGGCAGAAGAUUAGGAGAUAGGAGAGCAUUAUCAACUAUGGUGUGGGUUAUUUCUUGCAUUGAUGCUUCAGCCAAUUUUCAUAUGAAAAUUGCCAACAGCACAGCAGGCAUUAGAAAGGCUAGUUGCCUAGUGCCUGAGUGCCUUGAAUUGUAUUGUGAGCUUUUGCAUUAAUCCUUUGGAGUAAGAGAUUUGUUAACUAAUUUUGCAGAUUGAACUGCAAUCCCUUGCAACAUAUAUUUAGAUUAUACAGUCCAAAGAGUUUGAAAAGAAUCAGAAUGCCAUCUCAACCCCACAAUGAAGUGAGCCUCCAAAAGUAAACAUAGUAUUGUAAAGUAGACACAUAACUUAGUACUGCUAUCAAAUUUAGUUACUUCCUCCUGCUGCUCUGUGUGUGUGUGUGUGUGUGUGUGUGUGUGAGAGAGAGAGAGAGAGAGAGAGAGAGAGAGAGAGAGAGAGAGAUACAUAAAUACUACUGAAGAAUACAUAGCAAUUUUCCCCCUCUGGACUCCAGGAUACAAAUGACUGAGCAGCAAAUAAUGCAUGAUAUCUUCAAUCUGAUUGUACCCAAAUAUACAUUUCUGUUAUAUAACUGAGUUUCCAAGGUAUCUCCCAUCCAGAUAUACUGAGGGCAUCUGCUGGAACCUAAGAUCUGUCAAAGCUGUCAAAGCUGGGUAAAGGUCAUAGUCUCAAAAUAUUGGGGCACGGAAUGAUUAAUCUUGAUUUGGGGGUACCAAAUAGAAAAAAGAGCAUUAACAAUGGAUGUUCCAUCUUGAUUAGCAUUGUGAUAAAAAAAAAAUCUCAGUUCCUAAGAGUAUGUGGACUAAUAGGCAGACGUUUUCCUGUUAAAUCCUUAGUGCAUCUUGAAAUGUAGGUGCUCAACUUCCAAGCUUUGAUUGCUGCGACCUGCAAAGCUUAGUAAGAUUGUGGUCCUCCAGAUCAUUAAAUCUGUGCCAGUAUCUAAAGUAGGCUGAAUCAAUUCUGGCUGCAAACAGUAGAAGCCUCAGUUCAGCCCUGAGAUGGGUAGAUGCUGUCCCUGGGGAACGCCCCAGUGUUUGCCUCCUAAAGUUGGGUGACUGGCUAUCAAACUUAGUUACUCUCCCCAUAUACACACACUUUGACCUUGUGUGAGUGAGAGAGUGUGUGUGAUUGAUAACCGGUUUGAGUUUUAUUUGAUUUGAGUUAUUGAAUUUAUAUGCAGCUUUUCAUUCAAACAAAUCCCAAAGUGGCUUACAAGCAAUAAAUAACGAUUCCAUACUAAAACAGAAUACAUCACUAAUAUACAC